UACGUAGGUGGCGAGCGUUAUCCGGAAUGAUUGGGCGUAAAGGGUGCGUAGGCGGCCUGCUAAGUCUGGAGUGAAAGGUACCGGCUCAACCGGUACAGGCUCUGGAAACUGGCGGGCUAGAGAGCAGGAGAGGGCGGUGGAACUCCAUGUGUAGCGGUAAAAUGCGUAGAUAUAUGGAAGAACACCAGUGGCGAAAGCGGCUCUCUGGUCUGUAACUGACGCUGAGGUUCGAAAGCGUGGGUAGCAAAUAGG
Molecule: ribosomal RNA, 252 nt
Filed under: uncultured bacterium
Lineage: Bacteria
Description: partial 16S ribosomal RNA
Rfam family: Bacterial small subunit ribosomal RNA
Source: RNAcentral